Long non-coding RNA from Bactrocera oleae (olive fruit fly), 1384 nucleotides. RefSeq lists it as uncharacterized. Lineage: Eukaryota; Metazoa; Arthropoda; Insecta; Diptera; Tephritidae. The record is from RefSeq and is a predicted model, not a curated record.
GUUACCUUUGACAAUAAUACAUGCGAAAUUUUGUGACGAUAACUCGUCAAAUACAAAAGUUUUCCAUACAAGGACAUGAUUUUUAUCAAUCAGUUUGUAUGCCAGCUAUAUGCUAUGGUAGUCCGAUAUCGGUGGUUCCGACAUCCUUUAUGGAGAGCAGAAAACAAAAUUUCAGAUCGAUAUCUCAAUAACUCAGCGACUCAAUAACUCAGUGCGCAUAUAUACAGAUAGAUGGAGAGGCGGACAUGACUAAAUCGGCUCCGCUCGUAUGUAUAUGUGCAUAUACAUACAAGUAUAUACACUCUAUAGGGUCUUUGGCGUUUUCGAGUGGAUGUAACAAACUUUGUGGCGAACUAAUUAUACCCCAUCUAGGGUAUGAAAGAUAUAUUACCCUGCCACACAAAAAAAAAUCUCUUUACUAAAAAAUCUUUAAAAUUGCAUAAUAAUGCAAUGUAAUUUAUUUUGUCAAAGAUACCAACAAAAAGGGUUCGACCAACAGCCUUAGGGCCUACCACACAUUCGAUAUGACUCUAACUUGAAGCUCAGUGCCCGAUUAGUUAUAUACUUAUACUAAACAAAAUAAAUAGUUAGACAAAUUGUGAUAACUCAACAACUCAACUAUGAGCUAACAGACAAAUGAACAAGUAAAAAGCAAAAGAAUGUCAAACUGCAUAAAACUACAUGAAACACAUAGCUAUGAACAACAACAACAGCAACAAGAAGAAUAACAACAAACUAAGUCAAUAAUAUGCGAGCGCAAAUACCGACAGUUAGCUAAAGCAGCUGCAACAACAACAGCACAUGUCAAAAGUACAAGCAGCAACAGCAACAGGUAUGCACGAAAGUGAACAGCAACAAAAACAACAACAACAGAUAUAACAACCCUGAAAAAAACAACAACAAUAAAAGCAAUCACUCACCGCAACGUGUCAACAAACCACUCGGAUAUACUUAUGGCGGAUUACGAACUUAAAGAAUGUUUAAGGUCAGAGAACAGGCGCACCACAACAACAACAAAAUACGGCAGCAAAAAAGUCAGUAAAACAAAAAAAAAAUGCCAGAAGGAAAGUUUUUUUUCUCUCAUGCAACAUCUUUUUUCGUUGCGCUGCCAGAGGCGGCGUGCGACGGCUUGUAACCCGAUAGCUGCUUCCGACAGGAGUAGCUUACGACGACGAAUCAUUCACCUACUUUGCUACCCGCAUACAAGACGCACGUCUAUGCUGCUGCAAAUAUAUUUAUGUCUGACAGUAGAUAUGUACAUAUGUCUGUAUGGCUGUGUGGCUGCCGGUGUGUAUGUCUAUCUGUCUGCGCUUGCUGGCAUGUCAGUCGCUCUUGUCGGUGUGUUUACACAAAUUAGGUGAUUUUUUGAUUGCUCUAUAAUAAA